This 426-nucleotide ribosomal RNA is filed under the name uncultured bacterium. Its description in RNAcentral is "bacterial SSU rRNA". It matches the Rfam family "Bacterial small subunit ribosomal RNA", at positions 354 to 796 of the family's 1533-position model. The record is from RNAcentral.
GUGAGGAAUUUUCCGCAAUGGGCGAAAGCCUGACGGAGCAAUGCCGCGUGAAGGAUGAAGGCCUAUGGGUUGUAAACUUCUUUUCUCAGAAAAGAAUUAUGACGGUAUCUGAGGAAUAAGCAUCGGCUAACUCUGUGCCAGCAGCCGCGGUAAGACAGAGGAUGCAAGCGUUAUCCGGAAUGAUUGGGCGUAAAGCGUCUGUAGGUUGUUUAAAAAGUAUUCUGUCAAAGAUUAGGGCUUAACCCUAGAUAGGCAGAAUAAACUUUUAAGCUAGAGUGUGGUAGAGGCAGAGGGAAUUCCCGGUGGAGCGGUGAAAUGCGUAGAUAUCGGGAGGAACACCAAAGGCGAAGGCACUCUGCUGGGCCAGUACUAACACUGAGAGACGAAAGCGAGGGGAGCAAAUGGGAUUAGAUACCCUUGUAGUCC